RNAcentral lists this ribosomal RNA (253 nucleotides) under uncultured bacterium. RNAcentral describes it as "partial 16S ribosomal RNA". It matches the Rfam family "Bacterial small subunit ribosomal RNA", at positions 524 to 776 of the family's 1533-position model. The record is from RNAcentral.
UACGUAGGGGGCAAGCGUUGUCCGGAUUUAUUGGGCGUAAAGAGCGUGUAGGCGGCUAGGUAGGUCCGUUGUGAAAACUCGAGGCUCAACCUCGAGACGCCGAUGGAAACCAUCUGGCUAGAGUCCGGAAGAGGAGAGUGGAAUUCCUGGUGUAGCGGUGAAAUGCGCAGAUAUCAGGAGGAACACCAAUGGCGAAGGCAGCUCGCUGGGACGGUACUGACGCUGAGGCGCGAAAGCGUGGGGAGCAAACAGG